UACGUAGGGGGCAAGCGUUGUCCGGAUUUAUUGGGCGUAAAGAGCGUGUAGGCGGCCAGGUAGGUCCGCUGUGAAAACUCGAGGCUUAACCUCGAGAUGUCGGUGGAAACCAUCUGGCUAGAGUCCGGAAGAGGAGAGCGGAAUUCCUGGUGUAGCGGUGAAAUGCGCAGAUAUCAGGAAGAACACCCGUGGCGAAGGCGGCUCUCUGGGACGGUACUGACGCUGAGACGCGAAAGCGUGGGGAGCGAACAGG
Molecule: ribosomal RNA, 253 nt
Filed under: uncultured bacterium
Lineage: Bacteria
Description: partial 16S ribosomal RNA
Rfam family: Bacterial small subunit ribosomal RNA
Source: RNAcentral